AUGAGGGCUUUAUUCUGGAAUAUAAGCGGUUUCGGUGCUAGGGGGCGCCAUGACCAACUUAAAGAUUUGGUUCGUUCUAACUCUAUUGAUUUUGUGGGGCUGGUUGAAACUUUUAAGGAUUCCUUCUCCCCUAGUGAGCUCUCUGCUAUCGUGGGUAUGGAUAGAUUUCAUUGGCAAUUCUUACCUGCUUCGGGACACUCUGGCGGGAUUUUGAUUGUCUCUAAUAAGGAUAUUUUUGAUUUUGUUGCUUUUGAUCAUGGGUUUUUUUGGGCUAGUGUUGUUCUGUCUCACAAAUCUAUGAAUACCCUCUGUGAGUACAUCGUUGUUUAUGGGCCUGCGAACCACUCUCUGUCGAACCUUUUCCUUAAUGAACUCUCGACCAAGAUUGAGUCUUGUACUUUACCGAUGGUUAUUGGGGGAGACUUUAACUUGCUGCGUUGCCCUCUGGACAAGAAUAAUAAUAAUUUAUCUUGUUCUUUAGCCAAUGCUUUUAAUGACUUCAUUAGUGCUAACGCCAUUCGUGAGCUUCCUCGGGGGGAGCUCGCUUUACUUGGUCUAAUCAUCAGGCUAACCCUAUUAGAUCCGUGCUGGAUCGUGUUUUCCUUGGUCCCAGGUGGGAUGCCCUGUUCCCUAGGUCUUAUCUUCUCGCUAAAUGCAUUGUCGGGUCUCAUCAUACCCCCUUGA
RNAcentral lists this ribosomal RNA (684 nucleotides) under Triticum aestivum (bread wheat). RNAcentral's name for it is "partial small subunit ribosomal RNA". The record is from RNAcentral. Lineage: Eukaryota; Viridiplantae; Streptophyta; Magnoliopsida; Poales; Poaceae.